CUUGCAUGAGGGCCAGAGCCUGCUUCCUCCGGUAGCCAAGGAUGACUUGCCUAUAUUUGCUCCUUCAGAAGUCCUGGUUAAUUACAUGCCAGGUUUCAGAUGAGUUUGGCGAUAGGCAGUCACCUUGGCUAGCCUGAGUGGCUCUUGCCUCUUAUGGAAGGCCU
RNAcentral lists this microRNA precursor (164 nucleotides) under Brachypodium distachyon (stiff brome). Lineage: Eukaryota; Viridiplantae; Streptophyta; Magnoliopsida; Poales; Poaceae. The record is from RNAcentral.